RNAcentral lists this non-coding RNA (488 nucleotides) under Pongo abelii (Sumatran orangutan). Lineage: Eukaryota; Metazoa; Chordata; Mammalia; Primates; Hominidae. The record is from RNAcentral.
UUUCUCCUCGAAGGCCGAGACUUUUUUUUUUUUUAAUGUAGAAAACCAGUACAAAUUUACAAAACACACUAGAAAAUGCUCUCUUAUCUCUAGUUUGCUUUUUUGUGUACAAACUGUUAACCUGAACAGUUUUCCGGUGCAAAAGGUCUCACCAGAAACUUUAGGAAAGAUGAGUGUGGGUGCGGGAAGCAGAAGAAACUAAGCUGAGAAAACCCGGAAAAAUACUCGGCGCAGCCGCUGCGGCCUUGGGUCAUCUCACCUCGAUCUACCCCGCGUGCUCGCUUUCGCUUGGGGUGGAAAGCGGGAUUCAGGGGCUCUUUUCAGCGGACUGAGAAAUCGCAGAGGCCAUGGGGACCCCAAGUCAGGAUUCCCCUUUCCCGACAGCAGGGGUAAAGGGAGCGGGGGUUCCUUCGCUUCACUGUGCCCCAGCUCUACCGAGAGGCAGGCCUCUGGGAAACGAGCCGGGGACCUGGGGGCCCGGGCGGCCG